UACGUAGGGUGCAAGCGUUGUCCGGAAUUAUUGAGCGUAAAGGGCUCGUAGGCGGUCUGUCGCGUCGGGCGUGAAAACUCAGGGCUUAACCCUGAGCCUGCUUCCGAUACGGGCAGACUAGAGGCAGGUAGGGGAGAACGGAAUUCCCGGUGUAGCGGUGAAAUGCGCAGAUAUCGGGAGGAACACCGGUGGCGAAGGCGGUUCUCUGGGCCUGGACUGACGCUGAGGAGCGAAAGCGUGGGGAGCGAACAGG
RNAcentral lists this ribosomal RNA (253 nucleotides) under uncultured bacterium. RNAcentral describes it as "partial 16S ribosomal RNA". It matches the Rfam family "Bacterial small subunit ribosomal RNA", at positions 524 to 776 of the family's 1533-position model. The record is from RNAcentral.